Molecule: transfer RNA, 77 nt
Filed under: Selaginella nipponica
Lineage: Eukaryota; Viridiplantae; Streptophyta; Lycopodiopsida; Selaginellales; Selaginellaceae
Also listed under: 1 other name
Description: tRNA-Leu
Source: RNAcentral
GCCGCCGUAGUCAAAUUGGUGGGCACGCUGUAGGAGGCAGUGCUAAAGGCACCUCGGUUCAAAUCCGAACGACGGCA